This 164-nucleotide small nuclear RNA is filed under the name Colobus angolensis palliatus. Its description in RNAcentral is "U1 spliceosomal RNA (ENSCANG00000040096.1)". It matches the Rfam family "U1 spliceosomal RNA". Rfam says of the family: U1 is a small nuclear RNA (snRNA) component of the spliceosome (involved in pre-mRNA splicing). The record is from Rfam by way of RNAcentral. Lineage: Eukaryota; Metazoa; Chordata; Mammalia; Primates; Cercopithecidae.
AUACUUACCUGGCAGGGGAAAUUCCAUGAUCACGAAAGUGGUUUUCCCAGGUCGGGGCUUAGCUAUUGCACUCCGGAUGUGCUGACCCCUGCAAUUUCCCCAAAUGUGGGGAAUUCGAACGCAUAAUUUCUGGUAGUGGGGGACUGUAUUCACACACACACACA